AGGGCGGGGGGUAGGACUAGCGAGGAUUCCCUCAGUACGGCGAGUGAACCGGGAUCAGCCCAGCACCGAAUCCCCCCGCCUGUGACGCGGCUGGAUUGUUGUGUUCGGGACCACCCCUUUUGUGGGAUGGACCCCCGAGUCCCCCCGACAAGGGCUGCUCCCCUCCCGGCUUAUGGGCUCUACAUUUGCCGGUCGGCCGGCCCAGAGAGUCCUAGGUCUUGGGUUGUUUGAGAUUGCAGCCCAAUGCAGUUUGUAUAAAGCCACAAAGGCGGGAAACUGCCCAUUAUCCAAAUAGCCACCAGUGUCGUCCGGGAAAGAACAACCCCCUUGAAUAAAGAAUUCAAAUAUGCGUUGAACCGUAUUGUCCGAAAGUGAAGAUUCGAAAUCUCCGGCCUGGAUUUAAUAUUCUGCUGCUCGCCACCGUUCCUGGCGCGCGACCUCCGUAGCGCGCGUGCUUCGCGUCUGG
RNAcentral lists this ribosomal RNA (466 nucleotides) under Megascolex sp. PK-2012. Its description in RNAcentral is "partial 28S ribosomal RNA". The record is from RNAcentral. Lineage: Eukaryota; Metazoa; Annelida; Clitellata; Crassiclitellata; Megascolecidae.